GAUGAACGCUGGCGGCGUGCCUAAUACAUGCAAGUCGAGCGAACAGACGAGGAGCUUGCUCCUCUGACGUUAGCGGCGGACGGGUGAGUAACACGUGGAUAACCUACCUAUAAGACUGGGAUAACUUCGGGAAACCGGAGCUAAUACCGGAUAAUAUAUUGAACCGCAUGGUUCAAUAGUGAAAGACGGUUUUGCUGUCACUUAUAGAUGGAUCCGCGCCGCAUUAGCUAGUUGGUAAGGUAACGGCUUACCAAGGCAACGAUGCGUAGCCGACCUGAGAGGGUGAUCGGCCACACUGGAACUGAGACACGGUCCAGACUCCUACGGGAGGCAGCAGUAGGGAAUCUUCCGCAAUGGGCGAAAGCUUGACGGAGCAACGCCGCGUGGGUGAUGAAGGUCUGCGGAUCGUAAAACUCUGUUAUUAGGGAAGAACAAAUGUGUAGGUAACUAUGCACGUCUUGACGGUACCUAAUCAGAAAGCCACGGCUAACUACGUG
This 497-nucleotide ribosomal RNA is filed under the name uncultured bacterium. RNAcentral describes it as "partial 16S ribosomal RNA". It matches the Rfam family "Bacterial small subunit ribosomal RNA", at positions 28 to 507 of the family's 1533-position model. The record is from RNAcentral.